Long non-coding RNA from Papio anubis (olive baboon), 1782 nucleotides. The record is from Ensembl. NCBI's taxonomy places the organism in Eukaryota, Metazoa, Chordata, Mammalia, Primates, Cercopithecidae.
GGGUGGGCGGGUCUCCGUCAAACAUCAGUAUCAAACGUACAAAAGACGAAAGGGAGUUGCCUCCAGAAAGAAAAGCCCAAACCGGGUUGGAAACAGACCGGUAGGACUCAGGAGGUGAGAAGGCUGCCGCAGCUGCCGCGGCCCGCGAAACCACUGCCCGCCGCGGGCCGCCAGGCUCUACCUCCAGAAAACCCUCCCCCUUCAGGGCCCGGCGCAAGAUGGUGGCCCACCAGCUACCACGCCGCCAAGCCUGUCCCCUCCCCCGCACCCCCGUCGAUCCGCACCGGCAUAGAGACCCUCAGCCCGCCGCCCUCAGAACCGCCCUCUGGGGAAGGCUGCCUCGGCCGCGCGGGAGAGCUGCAGCCUGCUUCCGCGCGGCACAGGCGGGGGCGGGGGCCGCUUACCGAGAGCAGAGCAGAUCGGCCUGACUGGGGUUCGGAUAAGGAGGAGGAGAAAGAGGAGGAGGAAAGGGAGGAGCGCGAAAACCUCGGGCGACAGCCUCAGCAACAGCUACUCCCGCAGAGACUUCCAGCGCGGAACCCCAGUCAGGCCCAGUCAGCCUGACCAACAUAGUGAAACCCCAUCUCUACUAAAAAUGCAAAAUUAGCUGGGCGUGGUGGUGCAUGCCUGUAAUCCCAGCUACUUGGGAGGCUGAGGCGGGAGAAUCACUGGAACUUGUAAAUAUGUUUACAGGAAAAGCACUUGCCAAAAUACUGUUUACAGAAACAUUUUCUAGACACUGCUUUGAACUGUUAAAAGUUUCUUCUCCCAACUUUCUCUUCAAGGUUUAUAGCAGUACUGGUUCAUCUCUCUCUCUCUUUUUUUUUUUUUGAGAGUUUCUCUCUUGUUGCCCGGGCCGGAGUCCAAUGGCGCGAUCUCGGCUCACCGCAACCUCUGCCUCCCGGGUUCAAACGAUUCUCCUGCCUCAGCCUCCUGAGUAGCUGGGAUUACAGGCAUGCACCACCAUGCCCGGCUAAUUUUGUAUUUUCAGUAGAGACGGGGUUUCUCCAUGUUGGUCAGGCUAGUCUGAAACUCCCCACCUCAGGUGAUCCCCUUGCUUCGGCCUCCCAAAGUGCUGGGAUUACAGGCGUAAUGCCUGGCCCGAUUCAUCUCUUAAGAGUUGCCCAGACUGAAAAUAUCGUGUGACUCACAUAAUACACGCAUAAAUCCAGUCACUGAAUCCUUUUUUUUUUUUUUUUUUUUGAGCUAGUUUCUUCUUUCUUAUCGAUACAGCUAUUUGCUUCUGACCCUGAAAGUAAGCUUUACAGGAGAAGACAGAGAAUAAUCAAAAUAAACAAAAAAGUGAAAAGUCCCAAAAUCUUGGGGCAUGCAUAGUUGGUCCCUGCUUCCAGUCAGGGUGAUAAGUAAGUCCGGCCACCUUUUCCUUGAUGCCAGCAGAUUUAACAUUAGGAAGUCUACAGCCCGCAUGACUCUGCCUCUGGCUCUAGCAGGAAAUUUAAAACCUGUAAUUCUCCAGCCUGCCUCCUUCUUUGGUAUUGGCGGGAAAUUUAAAACUGGCAGCAAAAAUUGGCGCAGCUGAGAAAUUUAAAACUUGCAAAUCUGCAGCCUGUGCGGCAUUUUCACCAGUCCCACUUCCAAUAUGUUAUAAAGGCCCAUCCAACUUCCUCUGCCUCUCUCAAACCAGCCCAGACCUGUUUGCAGCACCCACCCCUCCUCACUUACCCCCACUAGUCCCCAGAGUAAUAAAAUUUCUCUCAAAUUCUCUUGGUAUAUCUAGUGUCAUGAGUGUCCACAUCCGACCUAAAAUUAGGAGGAGGAAUG